CUCGUAGGCGGUUUGUCGCGUCUGCUGUGAAAUCCGGAGGCUCAACCUCCGGCCUGCAGUGGGUACGGGCAGACUAGAGUGCGGUAGGGGAGAUUGGAAUUCCUGGUGUAGCGGUGGAAUGCGCAGAUAUCAGGAGGAACACCAAUGGCGAAGGCAGAUCUCUGGGCCGUAAUUGACGCUGAGGAGCGAAAGCAGUGGGGAGCAAACA
This 208-nucleotide ribosomal RNA is filed under the name uncultured bacterium. RNAcentral's name for it is "partial 16S ribosomal RNA". It matches the Rfam family "Bacterial small subunit ribosomal RNA", at positions 568 to 774 of the family's 1533-position model. The record is from RNAcentral.